UACGUAGGGCGCAAGCGUUGUCCGGAAUUAUUGGGCGUAAAGAGCUCGUAGGCGGUUUGUGCGUCUGCUGUGAAAGCCCGGGGCUCAACCCCGGGUCUGCAGUGGGUACGGGCAGACUAGAGUGCAGUAGGGGAGACUGGAAUUCCUGGUGUAGCGGUGAAAUGCGCAGAUAUCAGGAGGAACACCGAUGGCGAAGGCAGGUCUCUGGGCUGUUGACUGACGUGGAGGAGCGAAAGCAUGGGGAGCGAAACAGGAAUUAGAUACCCGGGUAGUC
RNAcentral lists this ribosomal RNA (274 nucleotides) under uncultured bacterium. RNAcentral's name for it is "partial 16S ribosomal RNA". It matches the Rfam family "Bacterial small subunit ribosomal RNA", at positions 524 to 795 of the family's 1533-position model. The record is from RNAcentral.